Molecule: ribosomal RNA, 381 nt
Filed under: uncultured eukaryote
Lineage: Eukaryota
Description: SSU rRNA
Rfam family: Eukaryotic small subunit ribosomal RNA
Source: RNAcentral
AGCUCCAAUAGCGUAUAUUAAAGUUGUUGCAGUUAAAAAGCUCGUAGUUGGAUUUGUGGAAUGGCGUGCCGGUGCGAUCUUCUGAUCGUGACUUGGUUUGCUGUUCCAUCCUUGGGUGGAAUCUGUGUGGCAUUAAGUUGUCGUGCAGGGGAUGCCCAUCUUUUACUGUGAAAAAAUUAGAGUGUUCAAAGCAGGCUUAUGCCGUUGAAUAUAUUAGCAUGGAAUAAUGAGAUAGGACCUUGGUACUAUUUUGUUGGUUUGCGCACCGAGGUAAUGAUUAAUAGGGACAGUUGGGGGUAUUCGUAUUCCAUUGUCAGAGGUGAAAUUCUUGGAUUUUUGGAAGACGAACUACUGCGAAAGCAUUUACCAAGGAUGUUUUCA